Molecule: long non-coding RNA, 1776 nt
Organism: Gavialis gangeticus (Gharial)
Lineage: Eukaryota; Metazoa; Chordata; Crocodylia; Gavialidae
Exons: 5
Source: RefSeq, a predicted model, not a curated record
GAGCGCUAGCCAGCCUGUUGCAGUGUGCUCAGCAUGAAAUGGCAAUGGCAUGCCAAGAGGGAUGCCAAAGCACGCUUCUCUAGGGAGGACCAAGCCAGACCCAUUUCAAAUGCAAAAUACUGACAUGCAGGAGUCAACUGAGUUUCCUCAGUUUUGUGGUUAAGGGAUCACAGCAGCGUGUUGAGCAGUGAGGUGAUUGCUGCGGUCUGUGGUCAAAGCCGAUUUGUCUGCGUGAGCUCCUGGAGAGCGGCACAGGCAUUAAAUGGCCAUUUCAUGGGACAAGGCAGUGAUUUCCCAACUGGGACUUCUGCCCAGGAUGGGACCUCUUAUUCUUACCACAGUUAAGGAAAAUGGGACAGUGUGCAUGAAAUGCAAAUGGCACUAAGAGUGUCUGCUUCUAACAGGAAUAGAAACUGCAGAACUGCAAGUACCUACUGCCACUCAACAAUGAAAAGUAUUGAUGUGAAACCUAAUAAUUUCUUAUUAUUGAUAUAUUACUAUUAUGCCCAGGCACCUCUGAAGAAGGUGGCAUAGAUAUGCCCCUUGUGACUAAUGAAAUAAGCUACAUAAGAUCAGAGCCUUGUUUUGCUGCAUCCUGUAUGGACAUAAAAGAUAGUCCCUGCCCAGACAGAAUGCAGCCUAAAUGGGGUUUAAGGCAUGACAGGGCAUCCAAAACAUGUAUGAGUAGGAGGAAGGAGGCACAGAAUAAAAGGGCUUGCAUAUUGUGAGCACUGUAGUACAACUGGGGCUAACAAGGGGACUUGAAGAGAGAAUUGGUUGGGAAGUUGUUGAGGGGGUUCCCCCACAUAUAAGAGGCAGCAUAAAAAACAGCAAAAAGGUGCCCAGGGAGUCGGGGGCGACAACGUAUCAAGAGAAAAGGUGGGAUCAUUGGCAGGAAAAAGGACACAGAGACGAGUCUGUAGCUAUCACAACCCCCGUAAACACUUGUAAAAGGUACAGCUAAACAUGGAGUGACAAAACACUUUUACACUUCCAUAAAUGAUUUAUGAAGUGUUCAUGGAAAUGAGGUGAAAAAUGAAUUACAAAUUUACAGUCUGCUGAGGAAAAUAUCUGUGGUAAUGAUCUUAAUUUAUAUAGCAUAUUCCAUCCUCAAGGGUCCUUGGAGCACAGUUGGAUUCAACAGCAGUCUAGACAUCUGCAUAAAAGUUAUCAUAUUAGCCAAGUGUGUCAAUACCUUUCUGAUGGAGAUGUCCAGAGCUGAUUGCACUAUUCCACAUCGAGUUCAACUGGGGCAAGUUGGUCAGUGCCGCCUCUCUGUUCUGGGAUUCAUUACCUUUGUGUAAAAGGUGAACUCAUCUCAAGGGGUAGGAGGGCACGUUCUGAGCAUGAAACAGUUUAGUAAUGGCCUGAUAUCUUGCAGUGGCCAGAGGAAAUGCUACACAGACACACUGAAGGCAGACCUCAAGAAAACGGAUGCUGACAUCAAGAGCUGGGAGGAGCUGACUGAUGACUGACUCCAGUGGUGCAGCAACCUCAACCAAGCGGCAACCUGUUCUGAGGUCACUGUUUGAGAUUUUCCAGGCAGAAGACCACUACUCCAAAGAAGACAGAGUGACUUGCCUUUCAGUAACCAGCUCUUGGGGUGAAGGGCACAAGAGCAACCAGGCAAAGGAUGCUGUGGAGCAGAAAAAAUAGUUCCAGUUGCCUGUCCUGGGAGUGCAUGAACAUCCUAGAGGGGCAUAUAUAUGGACAGAACAUUGCAAAGAACACCAGGUCCAGUGAAGUAAGUGAUCUUCUUGUCUUUCCUUUCAAUUU